AGAGAAUCCGAGAAUUGGAGGCUAAGCUGGAGAUCCAGAAGAGACAUCUGAAGGAGCUUGAGGAAAAGUUUUUGUUCCUUUUUUUGUUUUUCUCACUAGCAUUCAUUCUGUGGCCUUGAAGACUUCACUAAGCAAAGAACUCGGGAUAGAAAAAGAGCUUAUGGAAUAAAUUGAGUCCCUACGGCAACCCCAACCCCCACUCAAACCAAAAUUCAACAGCAAAACAAGCUACUUCAAGCCAGAGACUGAAAACAGAAUCCAUGCAUACUUGAUGAGGAAGCCUUUUGGAUCCAUGGCUGGGUCCUGGCUGGGCCGAGCUGUAGGAGCCCUGAAGACGAUGGGGAUUUUUGUUGAGCUUGGGGCCACCUCCGAGUCCCCACUCUGGCACCUUCAAAGCCCGAGGGGCAGAGACCUGAAUACCAGGAAACUAAGUGCAAUUACUAGAAACUGAGUCACUGGAGGGCCACUGCACUGUCAGGGACCAGGCCGGAGUCCUUGUCCCUGCGCUGCAUGCCUCCCCUGGCCAUGGGGGUGUGACCAGCUGGACACAGACCUAUGUACAUAUGUCUCCAUGAACUGUGCUUCAUGUAGCCCGGAAUCUGUCAGCCAGAGUGACUUGCAAAUGUCCCUGUGACCUGAACCUGAAUUCAAACCCUGAUCAGCAAAUCCCUUCAGAUCCCUGUGCAGCUGAUCCAGCAGGUGGCGACCAGGGAGGGAGGGAGAGAGAGCGAGCGAGUGAGCAGGACUCUGAGGAGGGGCUGGAGGCUCGCCCAUUGUGGAGGGCGGAUCCAAGGGCCUCAGAUUUCCAAGAAGGAAGCCGCGGGCUCCAGCACUCUUGUGGAUGUGACACGGCGACAGUCGCAGAGCAUGACUGUCCCUGGGGCCAUGCGGAGUGGGGACUGAGAAGGUGGACACAGACUAUACCAGUCCCAGGCUAUCUUUCAUCUUGGUUGUAAUUUGCAAGGCGCUGCGGAGGGAAAAUGCUGGAAGGUGGAGUGUUCUGUGGCGCGUCCGUGGGGAACAAGCCUCCCUCUGACCCCAGCGCUACUCUCUCACAGUCGUGGAGGAAGGAGCCCUUCCUGACCUCAGGACACGGGCCCCUGAGUGGAACCUCCUAGAAGACGGAGUGGGGCAGCCAGGAGGGCAGGCAGGAGCUGGUGAGAGUUGGCCCCGGAGGGAGCCCCUCGGAAGGGAAGAGACUUGGGGGUGUGGCUGCUGCUCUUAUCCUAGGGCGGGUGGGGUAGGUGGGCGACCGUCUGCAGAAGAGGCCCCUGCUCACAUGACCGCUCUCUCCUAAACUUCUGGAAGAAGACGUGUGGAAUUAGGAGGGAUGAAGUGAAACGGAAGGUGUGAAGGAGAGGAUGAAUGCCCUAGGAGGAUCAUCAGGGAUUGGGCUGAUCCCAAGGAUGGGAAGAUUAACUGCUCUGUGUUUGCUGGGCUUCAAGAGCAACCCUGGGAUUUCUAGUAAGAAGAACCCUGGGAGAAAUCCAAGUGACUGAGAUUGAGGCCACUGAGGGGACCCACAGAGAUGGGAGCCCAGCAGAGGAACUGGAAGUUCUCAGAAGGGCAAACCCAAGGAUGGAGAAGGAGGUUGCAGUGGGCACAGAAGGGGUGCCCAGCCAGAGGGGGCGGGAUGUCCAAACCAAAUCAAAGAAUUGGGGCGGGGGGGCGCUCUAAGCAAAUGCACACCAGGACAGCUGAGAAGUGACCAUUCUCUGUUGCAAUCUAAACCCAAAGCACCUGCCACACCAGGUGUGGCAGGACAGGGGCCACCUGCCACGACUUACCAACAUUUGGUAUCCAAAUGGGAAUGAACUCGUGUCUUUGCUUGAAGACAGGCAGCUGAGCAUCCCGGGUAGCAAAGGGAGUAUGGAACCAUGCAGUGAGUGAAAAUGAACACCCAUCUGCUUCCCCUGGGGGCCCAGGCAGCAUAGAGAGCCAUUGCUUUGCUAACUUAGUAGACAGAAGUCCAGAGGUGCACAUGGGUCUCUGGGAAGCAUUUCUGAGGCACCGAGUGCCCAGCCUCUCCCCACUGCAGGAGCAUCGAGGGGGGUGGUCCUCAUGCCCUCCUGUCCCUGUCCUUCUGUCUGCUCGGCUCUCCCACUCAGACAACAGGGCAGGAAUGCUGUUGGCUUUGAAGUCAGACCCAUCUGGGUCCACUCCCAGCCUGGCCCCUUUCGCACAGCAGACACUCGCAAAGUACCUGCUGCUCUGAGUCUUAACUUCUCCGUGGGAUGGGGGUGAUGGUUUCCAUGCAACAUCUUGCCUCUUGUCUCCGUGGGACAUGACUAGACAGACCUGCAGGACUCCGGGAUCCUGGCGGGAGAUGUGACAGGCAGCACCCAUGGCUCCCUUGGUGGGACUUGUUGGCGAAGGAGACCACCCAACCCCUGGGGGACCAGGAGCCGUUCUCCGAAACAGCGCAAGGGAGUGAGACCCACACCAGCAGGUUAUUCUCCUGCGCAAUCUGAAGGCCCUGCGGACAUCUCGAGAUCUCCAGAGAGUCAGUGUUGCAAAUCCACUUAAUGUCACGAAGUCCUGACCCAGGAGCUUUGUAUGGGAUGGAGCCCACGGCUACAGGACGGACCGAGAAAAGCUUCAGCUACGUUGUCAGAGUGCCCAGCAGUGAUGGGCUUGACAUAAUGAACGUUGAUGUGAAGAUCGACACUUGCUGGGUAUUUCAGGACUCAGAGGACAGUGGUGAGGAGCGGGGCCGUCCUGCGGACGAAGCAGCUGGAAGCCCAGAAGUGGAUACGGGCGCGCUCAGGAAGCAGCUGGAAUCCUCCAAGCGAAAGCUCUUGGCAACUGUGGACAAGUCCGUGAUGUCCAAGGCCGGGCUGAGGAGCAGGUAAAUACAGUGUUUGCACCUCCUCUUGGUGUAUUUAGCGAAUCCUGGGCAUCCUAAUGGACUUAGAUCAGUGUGUUGAAUUGCUUUUGCGGCUGAGGAUGCGGAUGCCCGGGGCAGCCCCACCUCUGGUUCCUCCUCCGUCCUGUCCUGUCCUCUGCUCCGCAGGUCAGGGGCUGAGCCCGCACCGUGUCUGAGGCUCCUGAGCUCCAGCUUCCAUGGGGGUCCAGCCAGUGGAAGGCACCGAAGGGAGGAGGAAGGGAGAGACCAGGGUUUCCCCUCUCCUGCUAGGGGUGACAUCCCACAGCGACCCAGCCAUGCUUUCGGGCUCCUCUC
Leptonychotes weddellii (Weddell seal) is the source of this 3181-nucleotide non-coding RNA. Lineage: Eukaryota; Metazoa; Chordata; Mammalia; Carnivora; Phocidae. The record is from RefSeq and is a predicted model, not a curated record.